GAUGAACGCUGGCGGCGUGCCUAAUACAUGCAAGUCGAGCGAACGGACGAGAAGCUUGCUUUUCUGAUGUUAGCGGCGGACGGGUGAGUAACACGUGGAUAACCUACCUAUAAGACUGGGAUAACUUCGGGAAACCGGAGCUAAUACCGGAUAAUAUUUUGAACCGCAUGGUUCAAAAGUGAAAGACGGUCUUGCUGUCACUUAUAGAUGGAUCCGCGCUGCAUUAGCUAGUUGGUAAGGUAACGGCUUACCAAGGCAACGAUGCAUAGCCGACCUGAGAGGGUGAUCGGCAACACUGGAACUGAGACACGGUCCAGACUCCUACGGGAGGCAGCAGUAGGGAAUCUUCCGCAAUGGGCGAAAGCCUGACGGAGCAACGCCGCGUGAGUGAUGAAGGUCUUCGGAUCGUAAAACUCUGUUAUUAGGGAAGAACAUAUGUGUAAGUAACUGUGCACAUCUUGACGGUACCUAAUCAGAAAGCCACGGCUAACUACGUG
RNAcentral lists this ribosomal RNA (497 nucleotides) under uncultured bacterium. RNAcentral's name for it is "partial 16S ribosomal RNA". It matches the Rfam family "Bacterial small subunit ribosomal RNA", at positions 28 to 507 of the family's 1533-position model. The record is from RNAcentral.